This 157-nucleotide non-coding RNA is filed under the name Psilanteris sp. ZL-2020. Lineage: Eukaryota; Metazoa; Arthropoda; Insecta; Hymenoptera; Scelionidae. The record is from RNAcentral.
AUGCUGUGUUAUUUGUUCCACCGUGAUAAUACAUAAUUGUAUUGUGGUUAACAAAUUAGUAACAAAACUAACAAAAUUUAUACAAUUUAAUGGUGUUUCUUGUCCGUGGGUUCAUCUACAUCAAAAAUGUAACGGACUACUCACAGCUUUUCUUUUU